GACGAACGCUGGCGGCGUGCUUAACACAUGCAAGUCGAACGGGAUUUAGUAGACAGAAGCCUCGGCUAAAGAUUACUAAUGAGAGUGGCGAACGGGUGAGUAACGCGUGAGCAACCUGCCUAUGACAGUGGGAUAGCCUCGGGAAACCGGGAUUAAUACCGCAUAAAAUCGUAGAAACACAUGUUUUAACGGUCAAAGAUUUAUCGGUCAUAGAUGGGCUCGCGUCUGAUUAGCUAGUUGGUGAGAUAACAGCCCACCAAGGCGACGAUCAGUAGCCGGUCUGAGAGGAUGAACGGCCACAUUGGAACUGAGACACGGUCCAAACUCCUACGGGAGGCAGCAGUGGGGAAUAUUGCACAAUGGGGGAAACCCUGAUGCAGCGACGCCGCGUGAACGAAGAAGGUAUUCGUAUCGUAAAGUUCUGUCCUAUGGGAAGAUAAUGACAGUACCAUAGAAGAAAGCGCCGGCUAAAUACGUG
Molecule: ribosomal RNA, 478 nt
Filed under: uncultured bacterium
Lineage: Bacteria
Description: partial 16S ribosomal RNA
Rfam family: Bacterial small subunit ribosomal RNA
Source: RNAcentral